AGUCGAGCGGUAACAGGAAUUAGCUUGCUAAUUUGCUGACGAGCGGCGGACGGGUGAGUAACGCGUAGGAAUCUGCCUGGUAGUGGGGGACAACAUGUGGAAACGCAUGCUAAUACCGCAUACGCCCUACGGGGGAAAGGAGGGGAUCUUCGGACCUUUCGCUAUCAGAUGAGCCUGCGUGAGAUUAGCUAGUUGGUGGGGUAAAGGCUCACCAAGGCGACGAUCUCUAGCUGGUCUGAGAGGAUGAUCAGCCACACUGGGACUGAGACACGGCCCAGACUCCUACGGGAGGCAGCAGUGGGGAAUAUUGGACAAUGGGCGCAAGCCUGAUCCAGCCAUGCCGCGUGUGUGAAGAAGGCCUUCGGGUUGUAAAGCACUUUCAGAAGUGAGGAAGGGUGUGUAGUUAAUACCUACAUAUCUUGACGUUAGCUUCAGAAGAAGCACCGGCUAACUCUGUGCCAGCAGCCGCGGUAAUACAGAGGGUGCGAGCGUUAAUCGGAAUUACUGGGCGUAAAGCGCGCGUAGGUGGUUUGUUAAGUCGGAUGUGAAAGCCCAGGGCUCAACCUUGGAAUUGCACCCGAUACUGGCAAGCUAGAGUACGGUAGAGGGGUGUGGAAUUUCCUGUGUAGCGGUGAAAUGCGUAGAUAUAGGAAGGAACAUCAGUGGCGAAGGCGACACCCUGGACCGAUACUGACACUGA
RNAcentral lists this ribosomal RNA (700 nucleotides) under uncultured Marinomonas sp. RNAcentral describes it as "bacterial SSU rRNA". It matches the Rfam family "Bacterial small subunit ribosomal RNA", at positions 60 to 749 of the family's 1533-position model. The record is from RNAcentral. Lineage: Bacteria; Pseudomonadati; Pseudomonadota; Gammaproteobacteria; Oceanospirillales; Oceanospirillaceae.